AUUGAACGCUGGCGGCAGGCCUAAGACAUGCAAGUCGAGCGAGAAAGCCCUUCGGGGUGAGUACAGCGGCGGACGGGUGAGUAACGCGUAGGAAUCUACCCAGUAGUGGGGGACAACUAGUGGAAACGCUAGCUAAUACCGCAUACGCCCUAAGGGGGAAAGCGGGGGAUCUUCGGACCUCGUGCUAUUGGAUGAGCCUGCGUAAGAUUAGCUUGUUGGUGAGGUAAUGGCUCACCAAGGCUACGAUCUUUAGCUGGUCUGAGAGGAUGAUCAGCCACACCGGGACUGAGACACGGCCCGGACUCCUACGGGAGGCAGCAGUCGGGAAUAUUGCGCAAUGGGGGAAACCCUGACGCAGCCAUGCCGCGUGUGUGAAGAAGGCCCUAGGGUUGUAAAGCACUUUCAAUUGGGAGGAAAAGCUAAUGGUUAAUAGCCAUUAGCCCUGACGUUACCUUUAGAAGAAGCACCGGCUAACUCCGUGCCAGCAGCCGCGGUAAUACGGAGGGUGCAAGCGUUAAUCGGAAUUACUGGGUGUAAAGCGCGCGUAGGCGGCUCUUUAAGUCGGAUGUGAAAGCCCCGGGCUCAACCUGGGAACUGCAUCCGAUACUGGAGGACUAGAGUGUAGGAGAGGGAGGUAGAAUUCCAUGUGUAGCAGUGAAAUGCGUAGAUAUAUGGAGGAAUACCAGUGGCGAAGGCGGCCUCCUGGCUUAACACUGACGCUGAGGUGCGAAAGCGUGGGGAGCAAACGGGAUUAGAUACCCCGGUAGUCCACGCCGUAAACGAUGUCUACUAGCUGUAGGGGUACUUGAGACCUUUGUAGCGCAGCUAACGCACUAAGUAGACCGCCUGGGGAGUACGGCCGCAAGGUUAAAACUCAAAUGAAUUGACGGGGGCCCGCACAAGCAGUGGAGCAUGUGGUUUAAUUCGAUGCAACGCGAAGAACCUUACCAGGCCUUGACAUCCCCGGAACUUUCUAGAGAUAGAUUGGUGCCUUCGGGAACCGGGUGACAGGUGCUGCAUGGCUGUCGUCAGCUCGUGUCGUGAGAUGUUGGGUUAAGUCCCGUAACGAGCGCAACCCUUGUCCUUAGUUGCCAGCACAUAAUGGUGGGAACUCUAAGGAGACUGCCGGUGACAAACCGGAGGAAGGUGGGGACGACGUCAAGUCAUCAUGGCCCUUACGGCCUGGGCUACACACGUGCUACAAUGGCUAGGACAGACGGCUGCAAACCAGCGAUGGGGAGCUAAUCCGACAAACCUAGUCGUAGUCCGGAUUGGAGUCUGCAACUCGACUCCAUGAAGUCGGAAUUGCUAGUAAUCGCGAAUCAGAAUGUCGCGGUGAAUACGUUCCCGGGCCUUGUACACACCGCCCGUCACACCAUGGGAGUGGGUUGCUCCAGAAGUGGUUAGUCUAACCUUCGGGAGGACGAUCACCACGGAGUGAUUCAUGACUGGGGUGAAGUCGUAACAAGGUAGCCCUAGGGGAACCUGGGGCUGGAUCACCUCCUUA
Molecule: ribosomal RNA, 1507 nt
Filed under: uncultured marine bacterium
Lineage: Bacteria
Description: 16S ribosomal RNA
Rfam family: Bacterial small subunit ribosomal RNA
Source: RNAcentral